UACAGAGGGUGCGAGCGUUGUUCGGAAUUAUUGGGCGUAAAGCGCUGGUAGGCGGCUUGUCAAGUCGCGUGUGAAAGCUCAAGGCUUAACCUUGAAAGUGCGCGCGAAACUGGCGAGCUUGAGUGUCGGAGAGGGUCGCGGAAUUCCCGGUGUAGAGGUGAAAUGCGUAGAGAUCCGGAGGAACACCAAAGGCGAAGGCAGUGUCCUGGGGAGUACCUGACGCUCAGGUGCGAAAGCCAGGGGAGCGAACGGG
RNAcentral lists this ribosomal RNA (253 nucleotides) under uncultured bacterium. RNAcentral describes it as "partial 16S ribosomal RNA". It matches the Rfam family "Bacterial small subunit ribosomal RNA", at positions 524 to 776 of the family's 1533-position model. The record is from RNAcentral.